RNAcentral lists this ribosomal RNA (1194 nucleotides) under human gut metagenome. RNAcentral's name for it is "bacterial LSU rRNA". It matches the Rfam family "Bacterial large subunit ribosomal RNA", at positions 1287 to 2499 of the family's 2925-position model. The record is from RNAcentral.
AGAGAGAAUGCCGGAAUGAGUAGCGAGAUAUAUGUGAGAACCAUAUAGGCCGAAUAUCUAAGGUUUCCUGAGUGAAGCUAAUCUGCUCAGGGUAAGUCGGGACCUAAGGCGAGGACGAGAGUCGUAGUCGAUGGACAACUGGUAGAGAUUCCAGUACUAUGUAUAAUCAGAACUGUGGGGACGCAGGAGGAUAGAUGGACCGCGGAAAGGGAAGACGCGGCCAAGUACAAAGUCAAGUUAGGUAGGCAAAUCCGCCAAAUGAUGAUGAAGUACGACGGGGACUGAAAGAAAGUAAGGAAGUCAUUGAAUCCACACUGCCGAGAAAAGCCGCUAUAGUGUUAUACAUACCCGUACCGUAAACCGACACAGGUAGAUGAGGAGAAAAUCCACAGGCCGACGGGAGAAGUGUUGUUAAGGAACUCGGCAAAAUGACCCCGUAACUUAGGGAGAAGGGGAGCCACGAGAGUGGUCACAGAAAAGAGGCUCAAGCAACUGUUUAGCAAAAACACAGGUCUCUGCGAAACCGAAAGGUGAAGUAUAGGGGCUGACACCUGCCCGGUGCUGGAAGGUUAAAAGGAGAGGUUAGCCGCAAGGCGAAGCUUUGAAUUCAAGCCCCAGUAAACGGCGGCCGUAACUAUAACGGUCCUAAGGUAGCGAAAUUCCUUGUCAGGUAAGUUCUGACCCGCACGAAAGGUGUAAUGAUUUGAGCACUGUCUCGACAACACGCCCGGUGAAAUUGAAGAACCAGUGAAGAUACUGGUUACCCGCAACAGGACGGAAAGACCCCAUGGAGCUUUACUGCAGCCUGAUACUGGGAUUCGAUGAUGUAUGUACAGGAUAGGAGGGAGACAGAGAAGGUAGGACGCCAGUCUUGCCGGAGUCGCCGGUGGGAUACCUCUCUUACAUCAUUGGAUUUCUAACCUGCAUCCGUGAACCGGAUGAGGGACAAUGUCAGGCGGGCAGUUUGACUGGGGCGGUCGCCUCCAAAAGAGUAACGGAGGCGCUCAAAGGUCUUCUCAGAAUGAUUGGAAACCAUUCAAAGAGUGUAAAGGCAAAAGAAGGCUUGACUGCGAGGUCGACGGACCGAGCAGGUACGAAAGUAGGACUUAGUGAUCCGGUGGUAAUACGUGGGAAUGCCAUCGCUCAACGGAUAAAAGCUACCCUGGGGAUAACAGGCUGAUCUCCCCCAAGAGU